CCUAACACAUGCAAGUCGAACGGAAAGGCCCUGCUUUUGUGGGGUGCUCGAGUGGCGAACGGGUGAGUAACACGUGAGUAACCUGCCCUUGACUUUGGGAUAACUUCAGGAAACUGGGGCUAAUACCGGAUAGGAGCUCCUGCUGCAUGGUGGGGGUUGGAAAGUUUCGGCGGUUGGGGAUGGACUCGCGGCUUAUCAGCUUGUUGGUGGGGUAGUGGCUUACCAAGGCUUUGACGGGUAGCCGGCCUGAGAGGGUGACCGGCCACAUUGGGACUGAGAUACGGCCCAGACUCCUACGGGAGGCAGCAGUGGGGAAUAUUGCACAAUGGGCGGAAGCCUGAUGCAGCAACGCCGCGUGCGGGAUGACGGCCUUCGGGUUGUAAACCGCUUUCGCCUGUGACGAAGCGUGAGUGACGGUAAUGGGUAAAGAAGCACCGGCUAACUACGUGCCAGCAGCCGCGGUGAUACGUAGGGUGCGAGCGUUGUCCGGAUUUAUUGGGCGUAAAGGGCUCGUAGGUGGUUGAUCGCGUCGGAAGUGUAAUCUUGGGGCUUAACCCUGAGCGUGCUUUCGAUACGGGUUGACUUGAGGAAGGUAGGGGAGAAUGGAAUUCCUGGUGGAGCGGUGGAAUGCGCAGAUAUCAGGAGGAACACCAGUGGCGAAGGCGGUUCUCUGGGCCUUUCCUGACGCUGAGGAGCGAAAGCGUGGGGAGCGAACAGGCUUAGAUACCCUGGUAGUCCACGCUGUAAACGGUGGGUACUAGGUGUGGGGUCCAUUCCACGGGUUCCGUGCCGUAGCUAACGCUUUAAGUACCCCGCCUGGGGAGUACGGCCGCAAGGCUAAAACUCAAAGGAAUUGACGGGGCCCCGCACAAGCGGCGGAGCAUGCGGAUUAAUUCGAUGCAACGCGUAGAACCUUACCUGGGUUUGACAUGGAUCGGGAGUGCUCAGAGAUGGGUGUGCCUCUUUUGGGGUCGGUUCACAGGUGGUGCAUGCCUGUCGUCAGCUCGUGUCGUGAGAUGUUGGGUUAAGUCCCGCAACGAGCGCAACCCUUGUUCACUGUUGCCAGCACGUUAUGGUGGGGACUCAGUGGAGACCGCCGGGGUCAACUCGGAGGAAGGUGGGGAUGACGUCAAGUCCUCAUGCCCCUUAUGUCCAGGGCUUCACGCAUGCUACAAUGGCUGGUACAGAGAGUGGCGAGCCUGUGAGGGUGAGCGAAUCUCGGAAAGCCGGUCUCAGUUCGGAUUGGGGUCUGCAACUCGACCUCAUGAAGUCGGAGUCGCUAGUAAUCGCAGAUCAGCAACGCUGCGGUGAAUACGUUCCCGGGGCUUGUACACACCGCCCGUCAAGUCAUGAAAGUUGGUAACACCCGAAGCCGGUGGCCUAACCGUUGUGGGGGAGCCGUCGAAGGUGGGACUGGUGAUU
Molecule: ribosomal RNA, 1422 nt
Filed under: uncultured organism
Description: 16S ribosomal RNA
Rfam family: Bacterial small subunit ribosomal RNA
Source: RNAcentral